This 1047-nucleotide ribosomal RNA is filed under the name Fusarium oxysporum. RNAcentral describes it as "SSU rRNA". It matches the Rfam family "Eukaryotic small subunit ribosomal RNA", at positions 87 to 1144 of the family's 1831-position model. The record is from RNAcentral. Lineage: Eukaryota; Fungi; Ascomycota; Sordariomycetes; Hypocreales; Nectriaceae.
CUGCGAAUGGCUCAUUAUAUAAGUUAUCGUUUAUUUGAUAGUACCUUACUACUUGGAUAACCGUGGUAAUUCUAGAGCUAAUACAUGCUAAAAAUCCCGACUUCGGAAGGGAUGUAUUUAUUAGAUUAAAAACCAAUGCCCUUCGGGGCUCACUGGUGAUUCAUGAUAACUCCUCGAAUCGCAUGGCCUUGUGCCGGCGAUGGUUCAUUCAAAUUUCUUCCCUAUCAACUUUCGAUGUUUGGGUAUUGGCCAAACAUGGUUGCAACGGGUAACGGAGGGUUAGGGCUCGACCCCGGAGAAGGAGCCUGAGAAACGGCUACUACAUCCAAGGAAGGCAGCAGGCGCGCAAAUUACCCAAUCCCGACACGGGGAGGUAGUGACAAUAAAUACUGAUACAGGGCUCUUUUGGGUCUUGUAAUUGGAAUGAGUACAAUUUAAAUCCCUUAACGAGGAACAAUUGGAGGGCAAGUCUGGUGCCAGCAGCCGCGGUAAUUCCAGCUCCAAUAGCGUAUAUUAAAGUUGUUGUGGUUAAAAAGCUCGUAGUUGAACCUUGGGCCUGGCUGGCCGGUCCGCCUCACCGCGUGUACUGGUCCGGCCGGGCCUUUCCCUCUGUGGAACCCCAUGCCCUUCACUGGGUGUGGCGGGGAAACAGGACUUUUACUGUGAAAAAAUUAGAGUGCUCCAGGCAGGCCUAUGCUCGAAUACAUUAGCAUGGAAUAAUAGAAUAGGACGUGUGGUUCUAUUUUGUUGGUUUCUAGGACCGCCGUAAUGAUUAAUAGGGACAGUCGGGGGCAUCAGUAUUCAAUUGUCAGAGGUGAAAUUCUUGGAUUUAUUGAAGACUAACUACUGCGAAAGCAUUUGCCAAGGAUGUUUUCAUUAAUCAGGAACGAAAGUUAGGGGAUCGAAGACGAUCAGAUACCGUCGUAGUCUUAACCAUAAACUAUGCCGACUAGGGAUCGGACGGUGUUAUUUUUUGACCCGUUCGGCACCUUACGAGAAAUCAAAGUGCUUGGGCUCCAGGGGGAAUAUGGUCGCAAGGCUGAAACU